This 448-nucleotide ribosomal RNA is filed under the name Bacillus sp. J20M022. Its description in RNAcentral is "bacterial SSU rRNA". It matches the Rfam family "Bacterial small subunit ribosomal RNA", at positions 95 to 526 of the family's 1533-position model. The record is from RNAcentral. Lineage: Bacteria; Bacillati; Bacillota; Bacilli; Caryophanales; Bacillaceae.
GCGGCGGACGGGUGAGUAACACGUGGGUAACCUGCCUGUAAGACUGGGAUAACUCCGGGAAACCGGGGCUAAUACCGGAUGGUUGUUUGAACCGCAUGGUUCAAACAUAAAAGGUGGCUUCGGCUACCACUUACAGAUGGACCCGCGGCGCAUUAGCUAGUUGGUGAGGUAACGGCUCACCAAGGCAACGAUGCGUAGCCGACCUGAGAGGGUGAUCGGCCACACUGGGACUGAGACACGGCCCAGACUCCUACGGGAGGCAGCAGUAGGGAAUCUUCCGCAAUGGACGAAAGUCUGACGGAGCAACGCCGCGUGAGUGAUGAAGGUUUUCGGAUCGUAAAGACUCUGUUGUUAGGGAAGAACCAAGUACCGUUCGAAUAGGGCGGUACCUUGACGGUACCUAACCAGAAAGCCACGGCUAACUACGUGCCAGCAGCCGCGGUAAUAC